AAACAUGUCUUCUUUAAACCCUAUAAAACUAUGCCAAACAAAGGCCCAUGCCACUAAUCUUCAAAGCUAUCAUGUUCUUCAUUUUCCUUCGAUGCUAUGCUUUGAAGUCCUUCAUUCAGCUGAUAUCUGUGAGUUCACAGCAAACCGGUUGUACUGAGGGCUGUUAAACCAUUUGGCAAAGUUGGUAAAAAUGUUUGAAUUAAUGAGCCUCUUCAUUAGGUUGGGAACUUUGCCGCCAUCUUCUAAGCAACUAUCGACUAUCUGCUGCCGUUUCAGGCUAUUCUCAGCUGACAGAACAGGCGACUCUGUUUGUGAGAGAUGCUGAACUAAAAUCAUGUUGGCAUUGCUGCUGCUGCGGCUGCUGUUGAUGAUAGGUUGGUUGAACAUGGGUGAACAGUCUGAACUUGUUCAAAACUUGGCAUAUCAGGGUGUUUUUCGUACAUGGUAACACUGAAAAGAUAUGAAUUCAGCUAGUAUCAAGUUUCAUGGAUGUGUUUUCUGCCCUCCUGCUUGCAUUGUCGCCUAUUAAAAUAUUGUCAACCAAAAAAUUUUCCAAAGUUUCCCCAUCUUCUUUUAUCAGCAGAUGGUGCUCAAUUUGAACAUUAAAGAUAUCAUAGGAUUACACAGAUAGAAAAAAAUAUGACAUUUUCAUUGAUUAAUUCAAGAUCAAAUCACUGUACUUGUAUACAUAUUGUUGUUUUGGUAAAUGUUGUAUACAUAAUGUUCAUAUGUACAACUAGCUAGAAAGAUAAAGAAAUUAAACACAAAAGAAAGAAACUACAUCAUAGGCUGUCCCUGUGGAUAGGAGCUGGACGUGGGCAUGUGGUAUCUGCAGAUGGGGUAGAGAUGGCUCUUAUCCAGCCACUAGGUGAUGCCCCGGCUAUGAAAGAAGUGGGAGCAUGGCACCAUACUGAUCACUUCCGCUCCGGCAUCGAACUCCUCCAGGCACAUCACGCAUUCCUCCUCCCGAACACCUUCUCCUUGACCAUACGACGACCGCCCCAAAAUCUGGACAACAAUAAUACCAAGGAAGAAUAAGAAGAGCCAGCAUUGCUCUGCUGUGAGAGACAACAAUACAGACUAAGGGAAGAGUGACCUAGCUGGUCCAUAAGAACACCAUCAUAGAGGGCAAUCUCUAGACUAGUAAUUUUGAUGCUCUCUAUUCAGAACUAGAUGAUAACAAAAGUGAUGUGCCAUCUUAUAAGUAGAACCUACUUAUUGAUAAGAGGUUUCAGGAUUUCAUUUGCCAGCAGCCCUAUUCUCUUCAGGGUAAGAAAUCUUUUAUGAAUUGAAAAAAUCUAUCGUACUUGUCCCUCUUUCAUAGCAUAUAUUUUCAUGAUUUAGGUGCUUACUUUAUUCCCAUUCUAUUCUUGUUUGGAUUUUUUAAACUUAUAUAGCCGGGUCCUUUAAUUUCUACAAUAUACUUGAUGAAGAAUGUAAUACCAUUUUCUUUAUUGAAACAGUACAUGUAAGUUUUAUCAACCAUUUUCAUAUUAUAUCAGGGUGAAAAAUUCAUCCUGAAAGUUGUCAUCCUUGAGAAAUUGUAUGACUAGACAAGGGACCAAUAAGACACUUAGGUUGGCAUUUCAUUGCAAAGAAAACACCAUGAAUUCAAUUGCCACUUGUGCUCUCUUCAAUCUCAUUCUUAUAGCAAUACCUUGCAAAUAGAAGGCCUACUAAUCUGAUUAAAACUGAAAGAUAUAUGUCGAUUCCUAAAAAGUCAUAUUUGAAUCUAAAAAAACGGAACAAUGUCAUCAGCAAGGUUUGCCGUCUCGGAACCAGACCCGGUACCAGUGCCACACUAGCACGGUGUCGAUACAGUAUGAUACGGAUUUUUUUUGACAUACUGAGUAUUGAUGUGCCAUCCAUACUGGGUACCAAUACCAGAUCGAUAUGGUACGAUAGGCUCCGUGCUGCCUGGUUCCGGCCGUACGACAUUCCACAGUCAUCAGCAUCUCAAUCCAGCCUAUGUUUAGUGGGUUUGGGUUGUAAUGUUUCGCAUGAAAGAAUGAUUCGCCUUCUUUCGCAACAUCAACCGUUGGAUUGCACAACAUCCGCUUUGAGAUCUAUGCUAGUGGAUGAAAGAAAGAGGUUGGGCUGCUUUGAAAUAUGUGCAAAGUGCAAUCCAAUGGUUGAUGUUGCGGAAGAAGAACAUCCAAUCUUUUGCGUAAAACAUACAAUAAGAACCUGUAUUUAGCAAUGAUGUAUGAACUAAUAAUUUCAUCAAUGUUGCAAACCUAGCUUUCCCUCUGGAUAUGAAUACCUGACUAUUGCAAAGAGAAUGUCCAUCUAGUUGGUUAUAACAUCUAGCACCAAACAUUGAAAGGUAACACCAAGGUUAUAUCGAUAACACACUGCUUCAUAGCUUGGAAACUUUGAGCUUGGGAAGCUCAUUCAUAGAUUUGACCAUCUAAUAUGAUCUGAUUAUGGCCUUCCUAAGUUGUAUUUAGUAAUGCUAUAUAAACUUAUAAUUUCAUCAAUGUUGGAAACCUAGCUAUCACUCUAGAUAUGAAUACCUGACUAUUGCAAAAAGAAUGUCCAUCCAGCUGGUUAUAACAUCUAGCACCAAACAUUGAAAGGUAACACUAAGGUUAUGUUGACAACACACUGCUUCAUAGCUUGGAAAAUUUGAGCUUGGGAAGCUCAUUCAUAGAUCUGACCAUCUAAUGUGAUUCGAUUAUGGCCUUCCUACUCUCAACUAAUAACUCGUUUUUAAAAGUAGGAUGCAAAAUUACCAAAACAUGAGUAUAGUUAACGGCAAAUGCAUCUAUGUGUGUCAACUCAGGACACAAAUCAAUCUUUGGUUGGACUUAUGCAUCUUGGCGACAUCAUUCUUGGAUGACAUAAGUUACUUGGAGAGACAAGUUAUCCUCAUUUUCUUACGUUUAAGCAAUGUUAUGUAAAUUGAAUUUGAUUAGAAUAUUCUCCUCGUUUUCUUAUGUUUUAGCAUUGUUAUGUAAAUUGAAUUUGAUUAGAAUAUUCUAUGCUGCCCUUUAAUAGUCAAAGACUACAAGCUAUGGGACAUCAUUCUUAGCUUCUUGAUCGUUUCGAACACUUUGCUCAUUGCAUGAAAGGGCUUUUGUUUCUUCUGAUUAAGUACUUAUUAUUUUGAGGGCAAGGAGAAAACUUUUAUUGAAUUACAAACUAUUGACGCUAAUGAGGAAGCUGAACUCGGUCAAAAAGCCAUAAAGUUAACUUCAAAAAAAUAUUAUCUAAUAAUCCAACUCAUCUAACCUCAUCAAUAGAAUUGACAAACUAGUUGCACGAUUCCGUCUUUUUCUUAUGACAUUUUUCCUAAAAUUACAUAUUAUCACAUUAGUGUGACGUUCUUAGAAAUUUUAGUGAAAACUUUAAUUCUUCUUAUUUGUGCAUCCUCUUUUCUCUUAUACAGAAGCUUAUUAUCAUGGUUUGCUUAAUUCACUAACAUCUUAACAAGUUCUAAUUUUAAGUUUCUGUUUACCAUGUACUUUGUAAGUAUAUUGAUGUUAGUGAAGUGAUAUAUGGAGUUAACUGUUCCACCGGCACACUCGAAUAUUUUUUGGUACGGUCCAAUACCGAGCAGUUUCGUUGGACUUUGUGGCUCAAUUGUGAUGCGUUCUCAUCUUUCUUGUUCGAAUUUAGCUUCGUACACAGUUAAACAAGGUUUGAUGUAUAGUUAAUGUAGCCCAGCACAUAGUUAAGUCACCCUGGCACAUAAUUAAAUUACCUUGGCACACACGAACCAUAACCUGGCACACAAUUAUUAGAGCUUGCUACGGAGUUACCCUGGCACACAACAGUGUUAACCUGGCACACAAUAUGGGUUUAGAUGAAUAUAUGUCUUUCUUACUGGAAUAAGCCGGCACAGGAAUGUUAACCUGGCAAUUUUAUUAUGAUAACAUAGCACAUAGUUAUCUAGGAUUGUAGCAGGAUGAAUAUAAGUCACCCUGGCACACACAAACGAUAACAUGGCACACAAUUAUUUGAGCUUGGUACACAGUUACCCUGGCGCAUAGCAAUGUUAACCUGGCACACGAUAUGGUUCUAGAUGAAUAUAUGCCUUCCUUGCAAGAUUGAGCCUGCACAGGAAUGUUAACUUGGCAGUUUUAUUACGAUAACCUGGCACACAAUUAUCUUGGAUUGAAGCAAGAUUAAUAUAAGUCAGGUAGAAUGUGGCCACGAGCAUGCAAACCUUCAGGGAUCAUAAAUCUUCAUGAUGUGGAUAUAUUGUCUAGAGAUGUUCUUGUCCAUAUCGUUGGUGUAUGCUUAAGAAGAAUGCAUUGGCUUUGUAGCAAAUUCCUUAUAUAGGUGUUCAAAUUGGUUAAACAAUUACUAAACUUUCAAGAAGCAAUGGAAAAGGAAUGGAAAAGGGCUGCCAAUAUGCAAACAGCACGAACUGAUUUUGCAUGUGCAGUUAUUUCUAACAAGGUCUAUGUGGCUGGGGGAGGCAAUUCAAGUUGUACUGAAGGGCUUUCUUCUGUUGAAGUUUAUGAUCCUUGUGCAGAUAGGUGGGAAGAUUUACCACCAAUGCCUUUCGCGCUAAUUGAAUGCUUCAGUAUAUCGUAUGGAGGUCAAUUUCAUGUUCUUGGCAAGAGAGAGUAUAACAUUCAACAAGAUACAUACUUAUCUUCAAUCCAGUGAACCAACAUUGGUGCAUCAUGGAAGAUCUGCAGCUGUUUUGUAAGUUGACACAUAAUUAUACAACUAUACAAAACGGCAACAUCUACACUAUUCUGGAAGAAGGGAGCAUCAAAAAAGUGGACAUGGAUCAAAAGGUCUGGUGUACAUUGGGUGAAUUUCCUGCAGUGGUCCUUCCAAAACACUUGAGAUCAUUGAAGCCUUUUACCUUUGGAUUUGUUGCAUUCCAGCAGUAAUUAUAUGUCAUUGGGGGCAUGACUCUUAGGUAUAACUUAGAUACCCUUUCAUAUGGCAUUGUGAAGCUGAACUCGAAUAGGUUUUGUGAUCUGAGGAAAUUGCCACUAGAAUGGAAGGAUGCUAGACCCAUGCCAAUAAGAAGUGGUCGCAUAUUAGGAUGUGCUGUUAUGGAAGAAUAAUUUAACCCUUUUCUAUAUAUUUUGUGUCUGAAACUUCUUUCUUUUUGGAUAAAGAAAGGUCUCAACAGUCUAAUAGCUGUUCAUUAAAACAUGGUAUCUUUAUGGGGAAAAACAGAUACAGAUUUGGUUCCCAUCAUUAGGGUUUCGGUGGUAUUAGAAUAUGUGCCUUAUGGAAUUCAUAUGAUUUGCUUUUUCUUGGUUCUCACUUGGUUCAAAUCUUGUAAUGGCAUCAUGUAAGUGGAUCAUGUUGCAUUGUACCAUUAUAUCCUCAACGUGCAGAUUGUCUGUUGCCC
Phoenix dactylifera (date palm) is the source of this 5326-nucleotide non-coding RNA. NCBI's taxonomy places the organism in Eukaryota, Viridiplantae, Streptophyta, Magnoliopsida, Arecales, Arecaceae. The record is from RefSeq and is a predicted model, not a curated record.